Molecule: ribosomal RNA, 273 nt
Filed under: uncultured bacterium
Lineage: Bacteria
Description: partial 16S ribosomal RNA
Rfam family: Archaeal small subunit ribosomal RNA
Source: RNAcentral
UACCAGCUCUCCGAGUGGUGUGGAUGUUUAUUGGGCCUAAAGCAUCCGUAGCUGGCUGUUCAAGUCCCCUGUUAAAUCCAGCGAUUUAAUCGUUGGUUUGCGGGGGAUACUGUUCGGCUAGGGGACGGGAGAGGCAGACGGUAUUUUCGGGGUAGGGGUGAAAUCCUAUAAUCCCGGGAAGACCACCAGUGGCGAAGGCUGUCUGCUAGAACGCGCCCGACGGUGAGGGAUGAAAGCUGGGGGAGCGAACCGGAUUAGAUACCCGCGUAGUCC